This 429-nucleotide ribosomal RNA is filed under the name uncultured archaeon. RNAcentral describes it as "bacterial SSU rRNA". It matches the Rfam family "Archaeal small subunit ribosomal RNA", at positions 474 to 903 of the family's 1478-position model. The record is from RNAcentral.
UACCAGCUCUCCGAGUUGUAGGGACGAUUAUUGGGCUUAAAGCGUCCGUAGCUGGCUUAGCAAGUCUCCUGUUAAAUUUAGCGACCCAAUCGUUGAGCCGCGGGAGAUACUACUAGGCUAGGAGGCGGGAGAGGUCGACGGUACUUUCGGGGUAGGGGUGAAAUCCUAUAAUCCCGGGAGGACCACCAGUGGCGAAGGCUGUCGACUAGAACGCGCUCGACGGUGAGGGACGAAAGCUGGGGUAGCGAACCGGAUUAGAUACCCGGGUAGUCCCAGCUGUAAACUAUGCGGGCUAGGUGUUGGGGUGGCUACGGGCCACUUCAGUGCCGCAGGAAAGCCAUUAAGCCCGCCGCCUGGGGAGUACGGCCGCAAGGCUGAAACUUAAAGGAAUUGGCGGGGGAGCACCACAAGGCGUGAAGCUUGCGGUUC